GAUGAACGCUGGCGGCAUGCCUAAGACAUGCAAGUCGAACGAGGUGGCCCAAUGAAAAUGGAGUGCUUGCACAAAGUUGGAUUUGGUUUACCACCUAGUGGCAGACGGGUGAGUAACACGUGGGUGACCUACCUUCAAGUUGGGGAUAACAGUUGGAAACGAUUGCUAAUACCGAAUAAGAUAUAACUGUCGUGGUUAUAUUGAAAGGAGCCUUUAAAGCUUCGCUUAAAGAUGGGCCUGCGGCGUAUUAACUAGUUGGUGGGUAAUGGCCUACCAAGGUAACGAUGCGUAGCCGGACUGAGAGGUUGAACGGCCACACUGGGACUGAGACACGGCCCAG
Molecule: ribosomal RNA, 340 nt
Filed under: uncultured bacterium
Lineage: Bacteria
Description: bacterial SSU rRNA
Rfam family: Bacterial small subunit ribosomal RNA
Source: RNAcentral